GUAAAAUGUAUGCUUGCUAACUUCAUGAACUUAGUAACUUUAUACUGGUUUCAGUUCAUGGCACACAUACUCAACAAAAGUUGGCUUAUUGACAAGCUGGGGAGAUUAAGUUGGAGUCUUGGGAGUUCCAACUUAAGAGGAAGCUGACUAGCCAACCAAAGUCAAGGGAGGUCACAGCCCCCUUGGUCCUCUUUUAAUCUAUCAAAGUCACGAAGCUCCUCUAAUCCGUCAGUCGCCAA
This 239-nucleotide unclassified non-coding RNA is filed under the name Hevea brasiliensis (rubber tree). The record is from RNAcentral. Lineage: Eukaryota; Viridiplantae; Streptophyta; Magnoliopsida; Malpighiales; Euphorbiaceae.